CCUACGGGAGGCAGCAGUAGGGAAUAUUGCUCAAUGGGGGAAACCCUGAAGCAGCAACGCCGCGUGAAGGAUGAAGGUUUUCGGAUUGUAAACUUCUUUUGUUAGAGAAGAAAAUGACGGUAUCUAACGAAUAAGCACUGGCCAACUUCGUGCCAGCAGCCGCGGUAAUACGGGGGGUGCAAGCGUUACUCGGAAUCACUGGGCGUAAAGAGCGCGUAGGCGGGAUAGCAAGUCAGAUGUGAAAUCCUACGGCUUAACCAUAGAACUGCAUUUGAAACUGUUAGUCUUGAGUAUGGGAGAGGUAGGUGGAAUUCUUGGUGUAGGGGUAAAAUGCGUAGAGAUCAAGAGGAAUACUCAUUGCGAAGGCGACCUGCUAGAACAUAACUGACGCUGAGGCGCGAAAGCGUGGGGAUCAAACAGGAUUAGAUACCCGGGUAGUC
Molecule: ribosomal RNA, 440 nt
Filed under: uncultured bacterium
Lineage: Bacteria
Description: partial 16S ribosomal RNA
Rfam family: Bacterial small subunit ribosomal RNA
Source: RNAcentral